AUUCGUCACCGUUUUCACGAAGUGGCCUCAGUGGCCAAAAUCGUUGAAAUUUUUAAUUUCGAGUUUUGACCGUUUUUGAGCAAUGUAUAUAAAUGUCUACAACUUCAGUAAUUUUCAAAGUCUAAUCUUGCUUAAUUACGUCAUACGUGACGUCACGAAACGUAUCACAAGCGGUACAACUGGCAAACACCGUUUUCACGAAGUGGCCUCUUACGCGCAAAUGUAGUCUGCUAUUGAUAAUCGUACACGAACCGGCUCCGCGAAGCCUUUGUCACAGAUGCCGGUGCUUCUGGCGGAAUUGUUAGAGGAAUCUGACAGCCCUAGUAGAAUAGCCGGCUGAGAGGACCAUCACUAGCACUCCCAGGCCCAGUGGCUGAUGUCUAAGUAGGAGUUUGACGUGGAGAGCUUUUAGCAUGUUGUUGAGUUUACCAGUAGAAUAGACAGCUGGGAUACGCAAGAGAUGAGGGACCACUAGCACCCCCAGUGGUUGAUGUCCAUGUAGGAGUUUGUGCAGCUGAUGUGGAGAGCUUUUAGCAAAUUGACAAGGUAUGUGUGCAUCUUCACCCUCUGCCCUUGAACUGAUUGCUUUUCAAAUACCACGGUUUGGAGGUCAGACCAAACGACUGACAGACCGACCGACUGAAUAGCUAAGUCCCCUCAGUCAUCAAAGGAUGGACAAAAAUACAGAAGUUAUUGUUAGGUGGGAUCGUGAUGGAGAGAUCAAUUGUGGCAAGAAACGAGAUCUUCGAUAUAACGGAAGGCUUAGGGUGGGUUCAAGAGUCACUAUGAGCUAGAUGGAUGUGGACUGGACGGGGACUGCAACGCUGACAGGAGACUCUGACUCCGAAUGUGCCUCCAUUUAGAGGUUUUGUGGUCUAGUGGAUAAGUCGUUGGACUGUGGAUCACAGGAUCCAUGGUUCAAGUCCCGCCACAGCAGUAAUGUCUUUUGGCAAGAUAUUAAUCUAAAUU
This 969-nucleotide long non-coding RNA is filed under the name Strongylocentrotus purpuratus (purple sea urchin). Its description in RNAcentral is "uncharacterized LOC105440305, transcript variant X4". The record is from RNAcentral. Lineage: Eukaryota; Metazoa; Echinodermata; Echinoidea; Camarodonta; Strongylocentrotidae.